This 433-nucleotide ribosomal RNA is filed under the name uncultured bacterium. Its description in RNAcentral is "partial 16S ribosomal RNA". It matches the Rfam family "Bacterial small subunit ribosomal RNA", at positions 29 to 507 of the family's 1533-position model. The record is from RNAcentral.
AACGAACGCUGGCGGCAUGCCUAACACAUGCAAGUCGAACGAGACCUUCGGGUCUAGUGGCGCACGGGUGCGUAACGCGUGGGAACCUGCCUUUAGGUUCGGAAUAACUCAGAGAAUUUUGAGCUAAUACCGGAUGAUGUCUUCGGACCAAAGAUUUAUCGCCUUUCGAUGGGCCCGCGUUGGAUUAGCUAGUUGGUGGGGUAAAGGCCUACCCAGGCGACGAUCCAUAGCUGGUCUGAGAGGAUGAUCAGCCACACUGGGACUGAGACACGGCCCAGACUCCUACCGGAGGCAGCAGGAGGGAAUAUUGGACAAUGGGCGAAAGCCUGAUCCAGCAAUGCCGCGUGAGUGAUGAAGGCCUUAGGGUUGUAAAGCUCUUUUACCCGAGAUGAUAAUGACAGUAUCGGGAGAAUAAGCUCCGGCUAACUCCGUG